Heteronotia binoei (common prickly gecko) is the source of this 104-nucleotide small nuclear RNA. Lineage: Eukaryota; Metazoa; Chordata; Lepidosauria; Squamata; Gekkonidae. The record is from RefSeq and is a predicted model, not a curated record.
AUGCUUAAGGCAACACGCAUACUAAAUUUGCAGUAAUACAGAGAAGAUUAGUUUGGCCCCUGUGCAAGGAUGACAUGAAAGGCCAACAAGGGCAACUAAAACAU